RNAcentral lists this non-coding RNA (26 nucleotides) under Rattus norvegicus (Norway rat). Lineage: Eukaryota; Metazoa; Chordata; Mammalia; Rodentia; Muridae. The record is from RNAcentral.
AGUGUGCCUUAAUUGAAAAUGAGUAG